Molecule: ribosomal RNA, 478 nt
Filed under: uncultured bacterium
Lineage: Bacteria
Description: partial 16S ribosomal RNA
Rfam family: Bacterial small subunit ribosomal RNA
Source: RNAcentral
GAUGAACGCUGGCGGCGUGCUUAACACAUGCAAGUCGAACGAGAAAUGGAGACGGAAACCUUCGGGCGGAAGGCUUCAUUUCGAGUGGCGGACGGGUGAGUAACGCGUGGGUAACCUGCCUCAUACAGGGGGAUAACAGUUGGAAACGACUGUUAAUACCGCAUAAGACCACAUCACCGCAUGGUGCGGGGGUAAAAACUCCGGUGGUAUGAGAUGGACCCGCGUUCGAUUAGCCAGUUGGCGGGGUAACGGCCCACCAAAGCGACGAUCGAUAGCCGAUCUGAGAGGAUGACCGGCCACAUUGGGACUGAGACACGGCCCAAACUCCUACGGGAGGCAGCAGUGGGGAAUAUUGCACAAUGGGGGAAACCCUGAUGCAGCGACGCCGCGUGAGUGAAGAAGUACUUCGGUAUGUAAAGCUCUAUCAUCAGGGAAGAAAAUGACGGUACCUGAGUAAGAAGCCCCGGCUAACUACGUG